GAGUUUGAUCAUGGCUCAGGACGAACGCUGGCGGCGUGCCUAAUACAUGCAAGUCGAACGAAACUUUCUUACACCGAAUGCUUGCAUUCACCGUAAGAAGUUGAGUGGCGGACGGGUGAGUAACACGUGGGUAACCUGCCUAAAAGAAGGGGAUAACACUUGGAAACAGGUGCUAAUACCGUAUAUCUUUAAGGAUCGCAUGAUCCUUAGAUGAAAGAUGGUUCUGCUAUCGUCUUUUUAGA
Molecule: ribosomal RNA, 242 nt
Filed under: uncultured bacterium
Lineage: Bacteria
Description: partial 16S ribosomal RNA
Rfam family: Bacterial small subunit ribosomal RNA
Source: RNAcentral